AGCCCGAUAGUGUAGCAGCCAAGCAUGAUGGGCUUUGGACCCAUCGACCUCGGUGCGAAUCCGAGUCGGGCUA
Molecule: transfer RNA, 73 nt
Filed under: Promethearchaeota archaeon
Lineage: Archaea; Promethearchaeati; Promethearchaeota
Description: Candidatus Lokiarchaeota archaeon tRNA-Gln
Rfam family: tRNA
About the family: Transfer RNA (tRNA) molecules are approximately 80 nucleotides in length. Their secondary structure includes four short double-helical elements and three loops (D, anti-codon, and T loops).
Source: RNAcentral